GAUUUAAGCCUUGUACAGUUUGAAUUAGUUGAACUAAUCGAUUCUUUCGGAUAGUCAAAUUAAUCUAGCCAAAUGCCAAGUGCUAUUGCCAACUUAUUUGAUUAGAAAUGUGAUUUGGGUUUUAGCCAAAAAUAUUUGUCUGGAUGCUGUUGUUAUUGUAGGCAUUUGAGCAAAUGGAACCAGAUAAAUAUAAAUAUCUGUCUUA
RNAcentral lists this unclassified non-coding RNA (205 nucleotides) under Hevea brasiliensis (rubber tree). The record is from RNAcentral. Lineage: Eukaryota; Viridiplantae; Streptophyta; Magnoliopsida; Malpighiales; Euphorbiaceae.